GAUGCCGAGAAGAUGACCUCCACGCGGUCGGCAUCGGGCAACAAGCUUAACCUCCCUUAGCUUGGCGAACAUCUUCG
This 77-nucleotide non-coding RNA is filed under the name unclassified sequences. The record is from RNAcentral.